RNAcentral lists this non-coding RNA (27 nucleotides) under Mus musculus (house mouse). Lineage: Eukaryota; Metazoa; Chordata; Mammalia; Rodentia; Muridae. The record is from RNAcentral.
UCCUCAGAGGCCGGGAGUCAGCAGUUU